This 649-nucleotide ribosomal RNA is filed under the name uncultured archaeon. Its description in RNAcentral is "bacterial SSU rRNA". It matches the Rfam family "Archaeal small subunit ribosomal RNA", at positions 1 to 657 of the family's 1478-position model. The record is from RNAcentral.
UUCCGGUUGAUCCUGCCGGACCUGACUGCUAUCGGAUUGGUACUAAGCCAUGUGAGUCGUUGUAGCAAUACAAGGCAUACGGCUCAGUAACACGUAGUCAAUCUAACCUAUGGACGGGGAUAACCUCGGGAAACUGAGGAUAAUACCCGAUAGAUCAUAAUGCCUGGAACGGUUUAUGGUCCAAAUGAUUCGUCGCCGUAGGGUGGGACUGCGGCCUAUCAGCUUGUUGGUGAGGUAAUGGCCCACCAAGGCUAUUACAGGUACGGGCUCUGAGAGGAGUAGCCCGGAGAUGGGUACUGAGACACGGACCCAGGCCCUAUGGGGCGCAGCAGGCGAGAAACCUUUGCAAUGUGCGCAAGCACGACAAGGUUAAUCCGAGUGUUUCCUGCUAAAGGAAUCUUUUGUUAGUCGUAAAACCACUAUUGAAUAAGGGGUGGGCAAGUUCUGGUGUCAGCCGCCGCGGUAAAACCAGCACCUCAAGUGGUCAGGAUGAUUAUUGGGCCUAAAGCAUCCGUAGCCUGUUCUGAAAGUUUCCGGUUAAAUCCAUUAACUCAACUAAUGGGCUGCCGAAAAUACUGCAGAACUAGGGAGUGGGAGAGGUAGACGGUACUCGGUAGGAAGGGGUAAAAUCCUUUGAUCUAUUGAUGAC